AAAAUAUAAUUAUACAAUAAAAUACUACCACGGGUAAAAUCCUAGAAUUGACGGGCUUGAUUCGAUAUUAAUAUGGGAUGGUGUACUACGGGUGAAAUUUUAGAAUUAACUGGUUUGGGUUGAUAAUAAUUUACGAUAGAACUAGAAGUAAAAUCCUAGAAUGACAAUCAAGUUAUUAUUAUACAAUUAAAUACUACCACGGGUGAAAUCCUAGAAUUGACGGGUUUGAUUCGAUAUUAAUAUGGGAUGGUGUACUACGGGUGAAAUUCGAGAAACAACAAUCAAAAUACAAUUAUACAAUAUUAAGCAUUUAACAAAAUAAACAAAUACAACUUAAAACUUUAAAAUUUGAGUUAUAAAAUUUCGUCUCGCGGUGAAUUAUACAUUUAAAUCAAACAAUAGCAUAAAUUUGUUAAAUCAUUUUCAAUUAUUUUUUAUUUAAUGAAAAUAUAGGCCCGCGGUAUACCGCGGAUUAAAAUCUAGUUGUUUAUAUAUCCUUAUACUAAAUAAACCAAAAAAAUCAGAUAAAAGUCUUACAACAUCUGC
This 546-nucleotide small RNA is filed under the name Arabidopsis thaliana (thale cress). Its description in RNAcentral is "ATSL278880". The record is from RNAcentral. Lineage: Eukaryota; Viridiplantae; Streptophyta; Magnoliopsida; Brassicales; Brassicaceae.